Molecule: non-coding RNA, 78 nt
Organism: Schistosoma margrebowiei
Lineage: Eukaryota; Metazoa; Platyhelminthes; Trematoda; Strigeidida; Schistosomatidae
Source: Rfam
AGCUUUCCCAAUCCAUGCUAAGAUUUCGUCCGAUACCAAUCCAUUAAGGCUGACCAGACUUCCAAGAUAAGUGAAGUU